GUCAUCGUGGCCGAAUGGUUAAGGCGAUGGACUAGAAAUCCAUUGGGGUCUCCCCACAUAGGUACGAAUCCUAUCGGUGACG
Molecule: transfer RNA, 82 nt
Filed under: Octopus bimaculoides (California two-spot octopus)
Lineage: Eukaryota; Metazoa; Mollusca; Cephalopoda; Octopoda; Octopodidae
Description: transfer RNA serine (anticodon AGA)
Rfam family: tRNA
About the family: Transfer RNA (tRNA) molecules are approximately 80 nucleotides in length.
Source: RNAcentral